UACAGAGGUCUCAACCGUUGUUCGGAUUCAUUGGGCGUAAAGGGUGCGUAGGCGGUCGCGCAAGUCGGAUGUGAAAUCUCAGGGCUCAACCCUGAAACUGCAUUCGAUACUGCGUGGCUAGAGUACUGGAGAGGAGACUGGAAUUUACGGUGUAGCAGUGAAAUGCGUAGAUAUCAGGAGGAACACCGGUGGCGAAGGCGGGUCUCUGGGCCGAUACUGACGCUGAGGAGCGAAAGCGUGGGGAGCGAACAGG
RNAcentral lists this ribosomal RNA (253 nucleotides) under uncultured bacterium. RNAcentral's name for it is "partial 16S ribosomal RNA". It matches the Rfam family "Bacterial small subunit ribosomal RNA", at positions 524 to 776 of the family's 1533-position model. The record is from RNAcentral.